GAUGAACGCUGGCGGCGUGCCUAAUACAUGCAAGUCGAGCGAACGGACGAGAAGCUUGCUUCUCUGAUGUUAGCGGCGGACGGGUGAGUAACACGUGGAUAACCUACCUAUAAGACUGGGAUAACUUCGGGAAACCGGAACUAAUACCGGAUGAUAUUUUGAACCGCAUGGUUCAAAAGUGAAAGACGGUCUUGCUGUCACUUAUAGAUGGAUCCGCGCUGCAUUUAGCUAGUUGGUAAGGUAACGGCUUACCAAGGCAACGAUGCAUAGCCGACCUGAGAGGGUGAUCGGCCACACUGGAACUGAGACACGGUCCAGACUCCUACGGGAGGCAGCAGUAGGGAAUCUUCCGCAAUGGGCGAAAGCCUGACGGAGCAACGCCGCGUGAGUGAUGAAGGUCUUCGGAUCGUAAAACUCUGUUAUUAGGGAAGAACAUAUGUGUAAGUAACUGUGCACAUCUUGACGGUACCUAAUCAGAAAGCCACGGCUAACUACGUG
Molecule: ribosomal RNA, 498 nt
Filed under: uncultured bacterium
Lineage: Bacteria
Description: partial 16S ribosomal RNA
Rfam family: Bacterial small subunit ribosomal RNA
Source: RNAcentral